UACGAAGGGGGCUAGCGUUGUUCGGAAUUACUGGGCGUAAAGCGUGCGCAGGCGGCUUCUCAAGUCAGUGGUGAAAGCCCGGAGCUCAACUCCGGAAUUGCCAUUGAAACUGUGAGGCUUGAGGACGAGAGAGGUGAGUGGAAUUCCCAGUGUAGAGGUGAAAUUCGUAGAUAUUGGGAAGAACACCAGUGGCGAAGGCGGCUCACUGGCUCGUUUCUGACGCUCAUGCACGAUAGCGUGGGGAUCAAAC
Molecule: ribosomal RNA, 250 nt
Filed under: uncultured bacterium
Lineage: Bacteria
Description: partial 16S ribosomal RNA
Rfam family: Bacterial small subunit ribosomal RNA
Source: RNAcentral